UGUCCAUGUUUUCUGUCUAAGUAGCGUGUUUACUUGUAACGUUUAAAAUUCGGCUAUGCAAAAAUACAAAUAAAAAAGCACGUUGCAUGGGUCGGUUACGCUGUGUGAGGUCACAGGUGGCAAGAGCGCUAAACGGGCGAUGAAAAAACUGCAUUGUACAUUCAUAUAAAGGCGUCAAGAAAGGCACCGUCCUUCGGAUGAGAUGUUAAACUGAGGUCCUGACUCUCUGCGGUCAUUAAAAAUCCCAGGACACUUCUCGUAAAGAGUAGGGGUGUAACCCCGGUGUCCUAGCCAAAUUACCCCCAUUGGCCCCUAUCUAUCAUGGCCUCGUAUUAAUCUCCAUCCCUGAAUUGGCUACAUCACUCUACUCUCUCCUCCCCACCAAUAGCUGGUGUGUGGUGGGCGUGCUGGCGCACUAUGGCUGCCAUCGCAUCAUCGUCCCUAUACUAUGUAAAGCCCUUUGAGUGCCUAGAAAUGCGCUAUAUAAAUGAAAGGAAUUAUUAUUAUUAUUAAUAAACAUUGACAACAUGUAUCUGUAAGAGCGCUUGCAGUUGCUUUGAUAGCAGAAAGUAAUAAAAGGACUCGUAAAUAUGAAUGUAAACCCAUAUAACAGUUCGGUUUAUUCCCUGCCAUUAAUGUGGAUGUCUUUUAUGGUCUAGCGGUCUGGUGGGUAACCAUGGUAACACAGAAGAUCAGAUCUGUUCUGUCCACCAAUGACACGCUGCGGAUCAACAAACUCCUCAUCUUCUAUCUGAUAAUAGUGACUCUUCUCUUGCUGUCAUCUGGUUACAUUGGAUUACGGAUUGUGGCAUUGGAAAAACGGUUGAUCAUGCUGGGAACACUGCCGGAGCACACACUACACAACCAGAACAAUGAAACGUGAUGAGAGAGGAGAAUGAGAACCUGCAGAAACAUUCAGAGCGACAGACGAGCGACAAACACACCCGGAAACAGACGAGCGACAAACACACCCGGAAACAGACGAGCGACAAACACACCCGGAAACAGACAAACUACUAAUGAAUUCUGUGGUGGAACAGAAUCAGAAGAUUUUUACUGUGUGAUCUGAAGCGGUUAUUAUUAUUAUUUUUUUAAUUUUUUUAUCGAGGUUCACUUAUAUUGUUAGUAACGUUUUUUGCAGAAAAAAACCCCAAACAGUUAUAAUGUAGUAUUACAUGAACCUUUUCUACCCUGUCUUUGGCCCUCUGUCUGAAACACUUGGUUUUCUGUGUACUUCACCUUUAAGAAACGCCCACUGUUCUGAUUGGCUAACAUAAUUGAAAGCCCAAGUAGGUAUAGCUGCAGGCUGCACCAAAAGAGGACGAGGACGAAUCUCAGUUGCCUCCGCGUCUGAGACCGUCAAUCCGCGCAUCUGAUCACGUGACUUGUUGAGCGCUUUAUCAUGGAGACGUAGCGCGUGUGGGGGCUUCACGCUAUUCUCCACAGCAUCCACACACAACUCACCACACGCCCCACCGAGAGCGAGAACCACAUUAUAGCUGACCACGAGGAGGUUACCCCAUGUGACUCUACCCUCCCUAGCAACCUUACAUAUUCUUACAUAAAACAAACACUUGUUACUCACCACCAUCACCGUCGUGUCCAAUAUUGCUGCCUCAGCUUCAUCUUUCAAAACCAGUUUCAUUGUUCUCGGAAGAGUUCAUCCAUGAAUCCAAACAUUAUUCCCACAUUUGCGUUCAGGAACACGUUACAGUGUAUGUAACAUAAAUAAUUAUUCUUGUACAUUGAUAUUUUGAGACAUGUAAAAAAAUCAAUAAAGUAUAUUUCUCAUGCGUGUCUCUCAAUGGUCCUGACAGACUCAAUCAUGACCUUUCUCCUUACACAUGACUAUGCCCUUGUGCACACUGAGACGUUUGCGUUUGAAAGCGCAUCUUUUUCUCUCCGUCCGCACUGAGACGGUGUUUUUGAGCUUUUUGAAAACGCACUCCAAAGUGGAUACAUUUGAAAACGCCGUUUUGGCGUUGUUGUGCGGACUGUGAAAACGGACGCUUUGGAAACGAUGAUGCAUUUUUUAGUCAUGUGAUCUAUCCAACCAAAACAAUCAAGAUGGCGGCCCGUGUUAUAGCGGCGCUGUUGUAACCGAUACUCACUUUCAUAGCAUUGUUAAAAUAAUAAAUGUGACUUUGUACAACAUCACAUUGCGUUCCUUCAAAGGCGACGGGAAGAUUACUCGGAAUUGGUGUCCGGCGACGGAACACGAGGACUAUUGCGUUUCAGACCGUAUGUGCAGCGGGGUCAGUGACACGAUUUAAGCAUUUUCAUACGUUUCAGUGCGGACGAGCAACUUUAGGAAAACGCUUGAAACGCCAUUUUCAAAUGUAAAUGGUCUGCACUUAUAUUGCGCCUUUUUAACCUUAGAGGUUACCAAAGCGCUUUACACUGUGACCCAUUCACACACAUGCACACACGCACACACGCGCACACGCGCACACGCACACACGCGCACGCACGCACGCACGCACACGCACGCACACGCACGCACACUCACGCACACUCACGCACACUCACGCACACUCACGCACUAAUGGCAACAGAGCUGCUAUGUAAGGUGUUAGUCUGCCAUUGGGAGUAACUUGGGGUUCAGUGUCUUGCCCAAGGACACUUCGGCAUGUGGAGUCAUGUGGGCCGGGAAUCAAACCACCAACCCUGUGAUUAGCAGCCAAACCGCUCUACCACCUGCGCCACAGCCGCCCCAGUGUGUAUCCAGAUUAAUGCAGACGUAGCCUAAAUUAACCAGUUUAACUACCUCUUCCACCAGACAAGCUGUUAUUUCUGCAGAAACAAUCAAACUAAGAGUCUUAGGAACUACAUGAUGCUGCUUUAACUUCAUUUAUCCUGCAUAAAACACACAAUCCUAUAUUGCGUCCAUCAUGUAUUCACAUUUAUAUUCCAGCAUUAAUCUAAAAACAUCUUACAACAUAAUGUAAAUGUACAGGUUACUACAGAGUAACGAGUGAUGGUUCAGUUCAUGGAUUGAGUUCCAGUUUUUGUGUUUAAGGAUUUGUCUUCAAUGUAACAGACACGUUGGAGCAUUUGUAGAGCGCAAUUUCAAGUGUGAUUCCGAUAUUGUAGAUUCCAUCCAUCCAUCUUCAACCGCUUAUCUGACGUCGGGUCGCGGGGGCAGCAGCUCCAGCAGGGGGUGCCAAACGUCCCUAUCCCGAGCCACAUUAACCAGCUCUGACUGGGGGACCCCGAGGCGUUCCCAGGCCAGUGUGGAGAUGCAAUCUCUCCACCUAAUCCUGGGUCUUCCCCGAGACCUCCUCCCAGCUGGACGUGCCUGAAACACCUCCCUAGGGAGGCGGCCAGGGGGCAUCCUUACCAGAUGCCCAAACCACCUCAACUGACUCCUUUCAACGCAAAGGAGCAGCGGCUCUACUCCGAGCUCCUCACGGAUGACUGAGCUCCUCACCCUAUCUCUAAGGGAGAAGCCCGCCACCCUUCUGAGGAAGCCCAUUUCGGCCGCUUGUACUCGAACCUAGUUCUUUCGGUCAUGACCCAACCUUCAUGACCAUAGGUGAGGGUAGGAACGAAAACUGACCUGUAGAUCGAGAGCUUUGCCUUCCGGCUCAGCUCUCUUUUCGUGACAACGGUGCGUUAGAGCGAGUGCAAUACUGCCCCCGCUGCGCCGAUUCUCCAGCCAACCUCCCGCUCCAUUGUCCCCUCACUCGUGAACAAGACCCCGAGGUACUUGAACUCCUUCACUUGGGGCAAUACCUCCUUCCCUACCCGCAGAACGCACUCCACCGGUUUCCUUUUGUAGAUUAUUGAAUUUAAUUUCAGGCCACAGAUAAAACACUGUUCUGAACGUCACUGAAAUGGGAACGUCACAUCAGCACGUCCCGUUUCCUCAAUCGUGCUCAAACUUUUACAUUAGUUUAAAGUGUGUUUUUAUUCUGUAUAUGUCAAUGUCCAAUUAUCCUGUUAUAGAACCAUGUGUCACUAUGAUUAGAACUAUUAGUGGUUAAAAUGAGUAAAUUAAUACAUUUUGUGGGUCAGUGAUUAAACAACAUGAUUUUGAAUGAACUGUAUGUUUGAGUUAAUUAAUUGAGGAAAUAAAGGUCCUUUCAUUUUGGCCGAUGAAGGCUUUUGUUAGUGGUUAAUUCAUGUUCUAUGUUGUUUAAAAGUGUUGUUCCUCCUUUGACCAAUUAAUAAAUGUAUCAUUCAGCGAGGAGCGUCGCAGUCCAGCUGGAAACUGAUGGCAGGUAAUUUGGUGAGCCCAUCCCGAGCCCAUGCUUCAGACAGAGGCUCAUGA
Xyrauchen texanus (razorback sucker) is the source of this 4273-nucleotide long non-coding RNA. RefSeq lists it as uncharacterized. Lineage: Eukaryota; Metazoa; Chordata; Actinopteri; Cypriniformes; Catostomidae. The transcript has 3 exons. The record is from RefSeq and is a predicted model, not a curated record.